This 146-nucleotide ribosomal RNA is filed under the name uncultured bacterium. RNAcentral's name for it is "partial 16S ribosomal RNA". It matches the Rfam family "Bacterial small subunit ribosomal RNA", at positions 355 to 498 of the family's 1533-position model. The record is from RNAcentral.
UGAGGAAUAUUGGUCAAUGGUCGCAAGACUGAACCAGCCAUGCCGCGUGCAGGAUGACGGUCCUAUGGAUUGUAAACUGCUUUUGUACGGGAAGAAACCCUCCUACGUGUAGGAGCUUGACGGUACCGUAAGAAUAAGGAUCGGCU